Molecule: long non-coding RNA, 4315 nt
Organism: Mustela lutreola (European mink)
Lineage: Eukaryota; Metazoa; Chordata; Mammalia; Carnivora; Mustelidae
Exons: 3
Source: RefSeq, a predicted model, not a curated record
CAGGCUCCGGGUGGGGGUGCGGGGGCUCAAUCCCAGGGCCUUGGGAUCCUGACCUCAGCCAAAGUCAGACACUCAACUGAAUGAGCACCCGCCCCCCCCUUAACAAGGUGCGCUGAGAAGGAAUCAGGCAACUCAAGGCAGCGAGUUCCCUGUCCGCAGAGGUAUUCAAGCAAACAGAGGCAACCCAGGAAUGGAGAGCAGUAGGAUUGGACAACAUGUCCUCUAAUAUUCUACCCAGCCGGAGAUUCUGCGACUGUUGGUGGCACCAACGGAUAUCACUCAUUUCAAAGGGUGGUUUUUCUAUCGUUUUAAUUGUAUUUUAUUUGUAAGUCGGCUCCACGCGGGGUGUGGCCCCAGUGCGGGACUUGAACUCACCACUCUGAGAGGGAGACCUGAGCCGAGAUCAAGAGCUGGAAGCUUAACUGACUGAGCCACCGGGCGCGCUCUACCGUCCCCCCCCUACCCCGCAAAAGGUGAUUUUUCAUGAAAAUGACACGCAGGAUCAGUAAGUCUGCUUCUUCUAGACAUGGAGAGGAGCUGGGGGGGAGGCUUGUUUCCCAGGCAGCAUCACAAAGAAACCGGAGGGUUUUUUUGCAUUUCGUAAGAAAUCAUGGAGACACGUUGGCCAGAACAUUGGGCACCAAAAUAAAACAAAAGGAAACACACUGGCCUCUACCCAUCUGGGCGAACCGAACCGCGGACACACUCUCCCGGGUGCACGAACAAAUACAGACACUGACAAAACCGGUUCUCAUGGGUUCGUGCAAAUGCAGCCCGGCUGCAGGCGGACGCGACACUGGGCCGAGGGGACAGACGCUGCUCACAAGCUGCGGCUGAACUUUCUUUAUUGUCCUUCCCACCCUUAGGGACUCCAGUUUCUUCACGGUCUUUCUUUUUUAGGGGCUUUUUUUUUUUUUUGGCGACUGCCCCUCCAUUCCCUGCCUCUUGCUCCCUAUCUUGUCCUUUUGCUGGGACUGGAGGCACUUCCUUGGUGGCUCCUCGGAGCCUCAGUCAGGUAGGGUAAGUCCGGGGGUGGGGGUGGGGCAAGCAGGCCUGGGCCCCACCCCAGAUGCCGAUUCUCCGAUGCUCCAAUGCUCCGCGGUCCUGUCUCCAUCGCUGUGUGCUCUGGCCUCACCUAGGGCAGGGGAAGAGAGCGACCGUUCUCAUCCUGGGCUCCCCACCCUGCCUCUCCUGGUCACUUGCUCUGUGUCUCCAGAGAAGGACCCUCCCCUCCCCGGGGCUCUGUUUCUCUCCCCGUUAGCCAAAUUUCCCUCCAGUUGGAAAGAUUCUGCGUUUCCCCCUUUGCUCUGGUCCCUAGGACACUCGGAGUUGAAUGUGUCUUGUUUUAUUCUGAGUUGAGACCAGAGUCCCCCCGACCGCACACAUUCAGAAAUGCCCUUCCCAGGCGGAGGGCCCUCUGGGUCCCCUGACUCCUUACUUCCAGCUCUGUCUCAGGACCGUGCCCCUCGUCUUUUCCUCUCCGUAUUCUGGAGCUUGGUCACCAGCUUCCUCUCGUGGCCUCCAGGGCUGGGGCGGUUGGUGUUGGCGGCAGCUUCUCUCUUGGUGCGACCUUUCCGGGCUCCCGCUCCUGGGAACCGGGCAAGAGGUUGGGGUGAGGUGGACGGUGGACGGAGGCCUGGUACAUCCAAGGAGAGGCAGAGGGGUGCCGGGAGUGCAGGGUAGAAGGGGGGAGACUGGGGAGCAGUGGCCACAUAGCUUUGGGGCAGUCGGGAUCCCCGGUGCCCCCAACGUGGAGUGAGGGGCCCCCGAUGGUCUCUUGUUGCUCCCAUAUUCUAGGGGUGCGUGAGGUCCCAGGGCUGAACAGGACAGCCCUCAGUGGAAGAGGGGUUGGAAAGGAAUGACUGGAGGGGUCAAGGGAACAGGGCAGAGACUGGGUUAGAGGUCGGGAGAAGGCCAAGAAGGAAUCCUAGCUGGGGGCGUGGAGGGAGCAGGAAGGUGCCGGGGCCAGACCUUACCCAGGUAGGAGGGCGCUAGGCCGUAGAGCUCGUCGUCAUCCAGGGGGGGGUCUCCGUUCUCGUCCUCGGGGCCUCCGGGCUGUUGGGCCGGGCUGGCUGCUCUGGGGAAACUGGCCUUCAUCCUGGACUGUCUCCCGCGUUGUGUCUCUCUGUCUGUCGUCUUCGAAAGUUCUGUUUGUGUCUGGUUUCUCCACACCUCCCUGGUCACCAGCCCGACUUAUAAGGCCACGUGUCCUCUUCAGGCUCUGUCUGAUGCAAUCUGGCCCUUUCCCAGAACCUGACCCAGUCAACAGCAGUCACGAGGGGGAAAGAGUCGCUCGGUCGGUCGGUCGUGUGAGUCCCAGCUGCUUUGCCUCAUCUCCUCCCUCCGACUGGGGCUCGCCCAACUGGGUAUUUUUCCACAGAGGAGAUCCCCGCCCCUGAGGGAGGAGGAGGAAAGAGGCAGAGUGUGAGCAUAAACAGUCCUUGGGAGCAUGGCCAGUGGGGAUCCCAGGGCCUCACCUGGCCGACCCCGUCCGCUCAGUCCCCUGCCCCUGCCACACAGCUGACCCCCACCCAGUUCUGGCUCAGACACCCAGGGGGCAGAUGGUGGAGAGAAGAACACACCCCAAACUAGGUCAGUGGUUCUCACCCCUAACGCACCCAACACCCCUUUUCGAUAGGAAACUUCUGGAAAGCCCCCUUAAUAUCCCGAGCUGCGGGGGGGGGGGGGGUCUCUAGGGAGUUUCCCUCACCCGAGAGGGAGCCUAGCACAGUGGUUAAGAGUAUGGAUUCUGGAGCCAGCGGCCCUGGGCUCAAUCCUUUGAUCUGCUACUUCCUGGGUGACCCCAGACACGCCACCUCCCCUCUCUGUGCCCUGGUUUUCUCGACUGUAAAAUCGAGGACGAUGAUAGCUGCGUUGACCUCCCCGAGUUGGCGAGAGCAUCAAGCCAGAGUCCGCAGGGAAGGACCCUUGCCAAGGUGCCUGGUACCACGUCCACGGCAACGCAGGCGUUAUCCGCAGACUUUCCAAACAGCUCAGUCCUGCCGUCCCUAGAAGGUAAAGGUAAAAGGAAAUCAAUUUUUUUAAAAAUUUUUCUUUUAAGAUUUAUUUAUUCAUUUGAGGGAGCAUGAGAAGCAGACUCCCCACUGAGCAGGGAGCCCGGUGUGGUAGUGGUGGAGGAGACUCGAUCCCGGGACCCCAAGAUCAUGAGCUGAGCCGAAGGCAGGCACAUGACCAACUGAGCCACCCAGGCACCCCAGGACGUCGAUUUAUCAUGAAAUAAUGUCUUUCACAAGAUGGAUAUACUGGGGUAGAAGACAUUAUGAAGUCCACAGGUGUUUGGACCUAUUUCUUAUGAAUUAAGGAAAGGGAUUCGGAGAAGAAACACAUGAAACUGGUAUUUUCCAUCGUCGCCUGGAGGGAUCUGCCGAGCUGACCCAGAGAGGCCAGUCCCUGCCCACUCAUGUCCUCACUGAGGUGUACGGGUCAGCUCCCACGGUCCCGGGCAGGAAAGGAGGCAGAUACAACCUUCCACCUUUUUUACUUUUUUCAACCUCAGUGGUCUCCAGUACACGAGGACAGGCUGGGGCACGGCCAAGGGGGUGCUUUUUCUCUGCUCCUGUCCCCACUUCUCUGUGAGUCCAUGCAAACACUGUUUCCUCUCAGUGUUACCUGAUUUCACCUCCCCCACCCCAAACCCUGUAAUAACCCAGUCCCGUCCUUUACUUCGCCAGAAGAGACACUUCUGCUUGCGUUUCUCCCUGACCUGAGCCAGAAUUAAAUUUAGUUUUUGUUUUUCAGGUUUGGCUGAUUUGUGAAUUCUUGAAUAUCCAGGAAAUGAAAGUGAGGUCACUUGAAUAAAACACAGUUUGGGAUAAUUACACAGAGAUCACAAGCAGGCAGAGAGAGAGGAGGAAGCAGGCUCCCCAUGAAGCAGAGAGCCCGAUGCGGGACUCGAUCCCAGGACCCUGGGAUCAUGAAUGACCUGAGCCGAAGGCAGAGGCUUUAACCUACUGAGCCACCCAGGCGCCCGCAUGUUGGUUAUUUUAAAUAAAAGUUACGGAAGAGAUAGCCCGUGUGAGGAGAGCUCUCAGACCCUCCUCUGAACCCCGGAAAGCAGGACAUAAAUCUCCCAGGUAAAAGGUUCACUCCCUGGACCAGGAGGUAAAGAGACAUCCUUUCUUUCUUUCUUUCUUUUUCUUUUUUAACUAAUUUACAAAGUUUUCUAUGUCGUUUCAAUCUCUCCCAGUUUUAUAGUCUCUUUGUCUAAAAAGAUAAAAACUACCUGCCUCAGUCAUUUCCUGAGGUCUUAAUUUCAUGACACACAUAAUAAAACUUUGCUUUUCUGGGUUGUUAA